AGAGUUUGAUCCUGGCUCAGGACGAACGCUGGCGGCGUGCUUAACACAUGCAAGUCGAACGGAAAGGCCCUUCGGGGUACUCGAGUGGCGAACGGGUGAGUAACACGUGGGUGAUCUGCCCUGCACUUUGGGAUAAGCCUGGGAAACUGGGUCUAAUACCGAAUAUGACCAUGCACUUCCUGGUGUGUGGUGGAAAGCUUUUGCGGUGUGGGAUGGGCCCGCGGCCUAUCAGCUUGUUGGUGGGGUAAUGGCCUACCAAGGCGACGACGGGUAGCCGGCCUGAGAGGGUGACCGGCCACACUGGGACUGAGAUACGGCCCAGACUCCUACGGGAGGCAGCAGUGGGGAAUAUUGCACAAUGGGCGCAAGCCUGAUGCAGCGACGCCGCGUGAGGGAUGACGGCCUUCGGGUUGUAAACCUCUUUCAACAGGGACGAAGCGCGAGUGACGGUACCUGUAGAAGAAGCACCGGCCAACUGCGUGCCAGCAGCCGCGGUAAUACGUAGGGUGCGAGCGUUGUCCGGAAUUACUGGGCGUAAAGAGCUCGUAGGUGGUUUGUCGCGUUGUUCGUGAAAACUCACAGCUUAACUGUGGGCGUGCGGGCGAUACGGGCAGACUGGAGUACUGCAGGGGAGACUGGAAUUCCUGGUGUAGCGGUGGAAUGCGCAGAUAUCAGGAGGAACACCGGUGGCGAAGGCGGGUCUCUGGGCAGUAACUGACGCUGAGGAGCGAAAGCGUGGGGAGCGAACAGGAUUAGAUACCCCGGUAGUCC
RNAcentral lists this ribosomal RNA (771 nucleotides) under uncultured bacterium. Its description in RNAcentral is "bacterial SSU rRNA". It matches the Rfam family "Bacterial small subunit ribosomal RNA", at positions 8 to 796 of the family's 1533-position model. The record is from RNAcentral.